This 468-nucleotide ribosomal RNA is filed under the name uncultured bacterium. RNAcentral describes it as "partial 16S ribosomal RNA". It matches the Rfam family "Bacterial small subunit ribosomal RNA", at positions 28 to 507 of the family's 1533-position model. The record is from RNAcentral.
GACGAACGCUGGCGGCGUGCUUAACACAUGCAAGUCGAACGGAAAGGCCCUGCUUUUGUGGGGUGCCCGAGUGGCGAACGGGUGAGUAACACGUGAGUAACCUGCCCUUGACUUUGGGAUAACUUCAGGAAACUGGGGCUAAUACCGGAUAGGAGCUCCUGCUGCAUGGUGGGGGUUGGAAAGUUUCGGCGGUUGGGGAUGGACUCGCGGCUUAUCAGCUUGUUGGUGGGGUAGUGGCUUACCAAGGCUUUGACGGGUAGCCGGCCUGAGAGGGUGACCGGCCACAUUGGGACUGAGAUACGGCCCAGACUCCUACGGGAGGCAGCAGUGGGGAAUAUUGCACAAUGGGCGGAAGCCUGAUGCGGCAACGCCGCGUGCGGGAUGACGGCCUUCGGGUUGUAAACCGCUUUCGCCUGUGACGAAGCGUGAGUGACGGUAAUGGGUAAAGAAGCACCGGCUAACUACGUG